RNAcentral lists this long non-coding RNA (1833 nucleotides) under Canis lupus familiaris (dog). RNAcentral describes it as "lncRNA (ENSCAFG00000057413.1)". The record is from RNAcentral. Lineage: Eukaryota; Metazoa; Chordata; Mammalia; Carnivora; Canidae.
UUUUUUUUUUUUAUCUCAAACAUCCUUACAUUACACCUCAAGGAACUAAAAAAAGAACAAAUUAAGCCCAAAGUUAGCAGAAGGAAGGCAUAAAACCAGACACAUAGACCAAUAGAACAGAAUUGAGGCCCCAGAAAUAAGCCCACGUAUAUAUGGUCAACUAAUAUAUUUUUUAAGAUUUUAUUUAUUCAUGAGAAACACAGAGAGGCAGAGACACAGGCAGAGGGAAAAGCAGGCUCCCCGGGGGGAGCCUGACAUGGGACCCAAUCCCAGGACCCCAGGAUCACAACCUGAGCCAAAGGCAGACACUCAACCACUGAGUGACCCAGGCACCCCAGGUCAACUAAUAUUUGACAAGGGAGCCAAGAAUACUCAAAGGGGAAAAAAUAAUCUCUUUAAUAAAUGAUGUUGGGGAAACUAGUUAGCCACAUGCAGAAGAAUGAAAUUGGACCCCUACCUUAUACCACUCACAAAAAUUAACUUAAAGGAAUUAAAGAAGACUUAAAUGUAAAACCUGAAACCAUGGAACUCCUAGAAGAAAAGUUUCUCUAUGAUGAGCUCCUUAACAUGGGUCUUGACAAAGAUUUUUUUAAUAUGAUGCCAAAAACACAGGCAACAAAAGCAAAAAUGGACAAGUGAGACUACAUCAAGCAAAAAAGCUUCUGCACAGCCAAAGAAAUAAUCAACAAAAUUAAAAGUCAACCUAUGGAAUGGUAGAAAAUAUUUGCAAAUCAUAUACCUGAUAAGGGUUAAUAUCCAAAAUAUAUAAGGAACUCAUAAAACUUGAUUUCCCCAAAAUACAAAUAAUCCAAUUAAAAAGUGGGCAAAGGACCAGAAUAGACAUUUUUCCAAAACAGACAUACAAGUGGCCAAUAAGUAUAGAAAAAGGUGCUCAACAUCUUUAAUCAUUAGGAAAAUGCAACUCAAAACCACAUUGAGAUAUCUCCUCACACCUGUUCAGGUGGCUAUUAUCAAAAAGUCAAGAGAUUUUUUUUUUUUAAGUCAAGAGAUUUUGUUUUAAAAAGUCAAGGGGAAAAAAAGUCAAGAGAUAAGUGUUGGUAAAGAUAUGGAGAAAAGAGAAUGCUAUGCACUGCUGGUGAGACUAUAAAUUGGCAUAGCUACCAUGGAAAACAAUGGAGGUUCCUUAAAAAAAUUAAAAAUAGAACUGCCAUAUGACCCAGAAAUCCUGCUUCUUGAUAUAUAGCCAAAGGAAAUGAAAUCAGGAUCUCAAAGAGAUAUCUGGACUCCCAUGUUCAUUGCAGCAUUACUCACAGUAGCCAAGACAUGUAAACAAUCUGUCUGGGGAUGGAUGAAUGGAUAAUAUAUAUAUAUAUAUAAAUGGAAUACUAUUCAGCCAUAAAAGAGGAGGAAAUCCUAACUUUUGUGACAACAUGGAUGGAUCAUGAGGCCAUUAUGCUGACUGAAAUAAGUCAGACAAAUACCUUACAAUAUCAUUUAUAUGUAGAAUCUAAAAAAGCCAAACUCACAGAAAUGGAGAAGAGAAUGGCAGUUGCCAGGGGCUGUGGGGGAAAUGGGGAGAUGCUCAUCAAAGGGUACAAAUUUCCAGUGAUAAGCUGAGCAGAUUCUGGGGAUCUAAUGUACAACAUGGUGACUAUAGCUAUUAACAAUACUAUUCUGGGGAUCCCUGGGUGGCGCAGCGGUUUGGCGCCUGCCUUUGGCCCAGGGCGCGAUCCUGGAGACCCGGGAUCGAAUCCCACGUCGGGCUCCCGGUGCAUGGAGCCUGCUUCUCCCUCUGCCUGUGUCUCUGCCUCUCUCUCUCUCUGUGACUAUCAUAAAUAAAUAAAAAUUAAAAAAAAAAAAAACAAAAAAAAA